GUCGAGCGGAUGAAGGGAGCUUGCUCCUGGAUUCAGCGGCGGACGGGUGAGUAAUGCCUAGGAAUCUGCCUGGUAGUGGGGGAUAACGUCCGGAAACGGGCGCUAAUACCGCAUACGUCCUGAGGGAGAAAGUGGGGGAUCUUCGGACCUCACGCUAUCAGAUGAGCCUAGGUCGGAUUAGCUAGUUGGUGGGGUAAAGGCCUACCAAGGCGACGAUCCGUAACUGGUCUGAGAGGAUGAUCAGUCACACUGGAACUGAGACACGGUCCAGACUCCUACGGGAGGCAGCAGUGGGGAAUAUUGGACAAUGGGCGAAAGCCUGAUCCAGCCAUGCCGCGUGUGUGAAGAAGGUCUUCGGAUUGUAAAGCACUUUAAGUUGGGAGGAAGGGCAGUAAGUUAAUACCUUGCUGUUUUGACGUUACCAACAGAAUAAGCACCGGCUAACUUCGUGCCAGCAGCCGCGGUAAUACGAAGGGUGCAAGCGUUAAUCGGAAUUACUGGGCGUAAAGCGCGCGUAGGUGGUUCAGCAAGUUGGAUGUGAAAUCCCCGGGCUCAACCUGGGAACUGCAUCCAAAACUACUGAGCUAGAGUACGGUAGAGGGUGGUGGAAUUUCCUGUGUAGCGGUGAAAUGCGUAGAUAUAGGAAGGAACACCAGUGGCGAAGGCGACCACCUGGACUGAUACUGACACUGAGGUGCGAAAGCGUGGGGAGCAAACAGGAUUAGAUACCCUGGUAGUCCACGCCGUAAACGAUGUCGACUAGCCGUUGGGAUCCUUGAGAUCUUAGUGGCGCAGCUAACGCGAUAAGUCGACCGCCUGGGGAGUACGGCCGCAAGGUUAAAACUCAAAUGAAUUGACGGGGGCCCGCACAAGCGGUGGAGCAUGUGGUUUAAUUCAAAGCAACGCGAAGAACCUUACCUGGCCUUGACAUGCUGAGAACUUUCCAGAGAUGGAUUGGUGCCUUCGGGAACUCAGACACAGGUGCUGCAUGGCUG
This 995-nucleotide ribosomal RNA is filed under the name Pseudomonas sp. RNAcentral's name for it is "bacterial SSU rRNA". It matches the Rfam family "Bacterial small subunit ribosomal RNA", at positions 61 to 1051 of the family's 1533-position model. The record is from RNAcentral. Lineage: Bacteria; Pseudomonadati; Pseudomonadota; Gammaproteobacteria; Pseudomonadales; Pseudomonadaceae.